CCUACGGGGGGCUGCAGUGGGGAAUAUUGCACAAUGGGGGAAACCCUGAUGCAGCGACGCCGCGUGAGCGAAGAAGUAUUUCGGUAUGUAAAGCUCUAUCAGCAGGGAAGAAAAUGACGGUACCUGAGUAAGAAGCUCCGGCUAAAUACGUGCCAGCAGCCGCGGUAAUACGUAUGGAGCAAGCGUUAUCCGGAUUUACUGGGCGUAAAGGGAGCGUAGGCGGCCUGCCAAGUCUGAUGUGAAAGCCCAAGGCUCAACCAUGGGACUGCUUUGGAAACUGUUAAGCUAGAGUGCUGGAGAGGUAAGCGGAAUUCCUAGUGUAGCGGUGAAAUGCGUAGAUAUUAGGAAGAACACCAGUGGCGAAGGCGGCUUACUGGACAGUAACUGACGUUGAGGCUCGAAAGCGUGGGGAGCAAACAGGAUUAGAUACCCUUGUAGUC
RNAcentral lists this ribosomal RNA (440 nucleotides) under uncultured bacterium. RNAcentral describes it as "partial 16S ribosomal RNA". It matches the Rfam family "Bacterial small subunit ribosomal RNA", at positions 338 to 795 of the family's 1533-position model. The record is from RNAcentral.